AAACUUACCUGGCAAGCGAGAUACUGUGAUCAAGAAGGCAGUUCACUCAGGGUGAGGCUCAGCCUCUGCGAAUUCCACAAAUGUGGGAAUCUUGACUGCAUAAUUCCUGGUGGUGGGGGACUGCGUUUGCACUUG
This is a small nuclear RNA of 135 nucleotides. Its record names the gene U1. It matches the Rfam family "U1 spliceosomal RNA". Rfam says of the family: U1 is a small nuclear RNA (snRNA) component of the spliceosome (involved in pre-mRNA splicing). The record is from Ensembl.